CCACUUGCCGGCUUCGCCUCUGGUUCAGAUGGGAUGGAGACAGCAAGGGAUCGAAAUAAAAGGAAGGGGCCUGCGUUUUUGUGUCGGCUUAUUAGCCUGGUCAGACAAGGAAAUGGAGUUGAGUAUCUGGAUAUUUCACCUUAAUAAGACAAAACUCAGAAAAGAGCAUGAAAACUAAAAGGAAAUGUCCGGGGAAAUCCCUUGUGGAAGAAGGAGCAGACUGGUGCUGUCUGACUACAAAGAUGAGGAUUUGGAUCAGGUGUCCUGCAUGUACAGAACACGUCCUGUAUGACAGACUUAUUUUUCUGCCACAGUAAUUGAUGCUUAAAUCACUUAAAUGACAACAUUAGCUGAAAGACACAACUUCACAAAUAAAGAUCUGGACGAUCUUUUAUGUUUCUCCUGCAGUUUUGGAUGAGGGAAGAUCAACAGGGGGCACUGAUAACUAAAAGCACUUAUUUUUCAUAUUCAAAGAAAGGAAAGAAAAAGACUUUGUUUUUAGCCAGAGUGCUAAGUCGUGACAAGUAACCACCAUUGAGUUGAGAUAACUUCCCAUAUGCGCACAUGCUCUAGAAUCAGCCAGUCAACAGCAGUCUGGCUGUGGAAAGUUAGACAAUGAACGAUAGCCCAAAACUUUUGAAAGUCAGCCAACCAGGGACGAGUCUAGACAACAGCCAAUCAGCCAGCACCUCACUCUGGUGACUUUGAAGGUCAGCCAAUCCACAGCAGCCUUACUCCUGUGCCCUACACUAACACAGCUAAGUCCAUCAAAAACACGCCCGUUGCUGAAAGUGCACCAAUCCUGGAACGGCAGGCUUUCCAAAACGUUACAGAAGAUAACCUCUGGCUUUGCACUGGUGUCUUAAAAUACAGGCAAACGGGAAGUUAACCAUUUUUUGUAUCAGAUAUCGGUCAUAAUAUUGUUAGCUUGGAACUCUGAUGGUUCAAGCCAAUUACAGUGAGCUAUGAGUUUGCACUCCUGAAAUAACAGAUGCACUGAUGCGGCUGCAAGAUUAUCAAAUGGAAUCUUUUCAAUUCUUGCAGUGCUUGCUGUUAUCUAUUUUUUAUUUGUGUAUUUGUACCCCAAAAUGCAAGGGUACAUUUCGUGAUAAAUUUUCUGAACGGUGGACGUACAUUAAACAAGGAAAAAGAAUUAUUGAAGCUCUUUGAGCAGUAUACAUUUGUUAAUUCAGUGUUGAAAAUGAUGGAAAGUCAGACACAGGCCAGCAUAUUCCAGCUGAGAUCUUCAAUUAGUGCCAAAGAAAGAGAGAAAUUACAAAAAAUUUUUUAUGAAGAGAAAUUCAGAUAAAGAAAAGUUGUAAUGGCCCUUCCCACUAAAUUAUUUCGUCAUUCUUUCAGCUCAAAUAACUGAAUGCCUUACUACCAGAAGUAUUUUCUGAUUCCAAAAUUGCAAGCAAAUCUUCAAGUGCCAGGACAAAAUCUACCGCAAUAAUUUAAAAAAAGUAUUGACUCUAUUAUUAUUAUAGAGAUUAUCUAAGAUAUAAAUAUCUCACUUUUUACAGCAUAAACCGUGGACACAAGUAAUCACAAUGCAGAAAAAAUUUUCCCUUUGCCCAUGCAAUAUUUUUCUAUGAAAAAGUCUUGUUUCUAAGAUGGAACUUCAGAAACAAUAGAAAUUUUGGCAGACUCUCUUAUUAAGUUAGCAGUUAGUGAGAAAAAAUGUACUGCUUUUGGUGGAUGUAAUACGAAUAUAAAUUUGGAGAAUGUUUGCUUAAAGGUGAAAACAGUGUUUAUUCAAAGUUGAAGCAAAACAUGAGCGAUUCUUUGGAAGGAGUUGGCUGUUCUGUCCAUAUUCGGAUAACGCUCCUGGAGCAUCAUUGGAUGUCCACCCUAUUGACAUUGAAGUGAGUUGGGGGUCUGGCCCCACAGCCAAAAGUGGUUAAAGUUCCACGCACUCCACUUCGGUGGCCCAGGUUCAUGGGUUCGGAUCCACUCAUCAGCAGUGCUGUGGAGGCAUAUGAAGUAGAGGAAGACUGAAGAUUGGCACAGAUGUUAGCUCGGGGCAAAUCUUCCUCACACACACAAAAAGGUAAACUGGAGAAAAAUUAAUGUUUAAGAAAAUCGACUGGGAUGUUAAGCACUGAUUUUGAGCAAAUUUCUUAACUAGUAUGUUUUAUAGUAUUAAUUUCUAAUAUUAAAUAAAGGCUAUACAAUAUAAAUAUUUAAA
Non-coding RNA from Equus caballus (horse), 2188 nucleotides. The record is from RefSeq and is a predicted model, not a curated record. NCBI's taxonomy places the organism in Eukaryota, Metazoa, Chordata, Mammalia, Perissodactyla, Equidae.